CUAAGGAAUGUCCAGUAGUAAUCAGACACACUUGGCAGGAGAGCAGGGCAGGGUGAUCCAUCUCCUUUCUUGGUUGUCCUUUAUGUUUCCACUGACUAAAGGCCCAGUGAGAGGCCGGGAAGGUCCGCUUCUAGUAGACCACAUGUGUUCACAAAGAGGGCACAGGAGAUACUGUGCCACAGUAUCAGGAAUCUGGGGCAUAUGGGGGCAGGAACAGUGAAAAUCUGAAAACAUUGGAAAUCAGUUCCAAUGAUGCAACUGCAUUUAUUUCCCGGAGAGAGAAAUUCAAGCUAUACUUAGAAUUCUGGGCUCUUGUGGCUUUAGAAUUUAAACCUCCAAGGAGUCCAGAAUUUUAGUCUCCCCGAUAUUUAGACUAGGAUCUGGAAUAUUAAAGAUACAGGUUAUUAGAGUCUUAGAAUCCUAAAAUUCUAGCAUAGCAUAGCUCAAAGGGGCCUAAGAACACAUCUAAUUCGAUUUCUUCCAUAGUGGAAUAAAUUGCAGCUCCGGGGAAAGUCUAAAGAAGACCCACUGGAGGCCGGUGCAACUCGUGUUGAGUAUCACAACAUCCAGUGCCUGAGCCAGGCAUAGUGACGUGAGCAAGGAGAAAGCAGAAGCACGUGGUUACCAUGAACCAUAGGUGUAUAAACAGGAUUUCCAGGAAGUAACCAUGUGACGUUCCUCUUGGGCCUGAUCCUUGUAGGCAGAGUGGUCCCUGCCCUGGUGCUAUAUGGCCUGAUUUGAUUGGUGGUUCUCAACCAAGGAUGAUUUCAUCCCUCAAGAGACACUUGGAAGUAUCUGAGGACUUUCGGUCAUCACGCUGCGGAGUAGGAUGCUAUUGGCAUCUAGUAGGUAGAGACCAGAGGUGCCUCUAAAUAUCCUACAAAACACAGGACAGCCCCCAAAAUAGAAUUAUCUGGCCCGAAAUGCCAGUGGUGAAUGUCCAGAAGAGGACUUCGGCCUACAGCAGGCAUCAUUAAAACAUAUUUUCAUUGCCAUGACAUGUACAUGAUUGGAAUAUUUAAAUUGUCUUUGGAAAGCCAAAUAAUUAUGUGUUACAAAGAAUACAAAGUGGAAAAGCAUCAAACAUAAAAGAGUUGUCUAUUGUCCCUACUCAGCAACGCUGAAAGCUGGAAGGAGGAGAGAAAGAGGGAAGAAGAAUGUGGGAGGAGAGCCUGGGACAAAACUCUGCUGACUUCAAGAUCUGGCUGACCCAGCUCUUGAUUCCCCCAAGAGAAAUGUCAUUAAAGACUCGUUGACUUAGCUCAAUAUAUAGCCUGAAGCUUUCUGGGCCCUCGGCCGCCCCUACCCUUUGAAGCACCCCAUCCCUCAAGUUUGCACAAGAAGUUAGGUCAGAAGAGGGGGAAAUUUGUCAUAACCACCGUGGGAAGUGCAAUGUUCAGAGAAAGGCUACUCCUUGCACUCUACUUCUCCCCUAACUUAUUUGAGAGACCCUAGAGACUGGGAAUGUCUAUGGGAAGAGGGGACUGGAGGUUCACUCCCUGGUUCGAUGCCUGCUGAGGUCCUGAUAUGGAAGCCCAUGCCAGACCCGCUGUCAGAGUACAGCAGAGCUUAGAGAGAAAGCUCAAGGGGAGCUUCACGUCUACCUGGAGUUUGAAGGUGCCCGUGAACUCAAAAGAUUGACACUUGCUUCUUCUUCAACAGAAGUAUAUUUAUUUGAAGUAUAAUCGACCUACUGCACAUAGCUAAAGUGUGCAGUUUCACAAGUGUUGACAUAUGAACACUCACACACAUGAAGCCAUCACUACAAUGAAGACAGUGAAUGGAUCCAUUAUCCCCAAAUUUCCUUUGUAAAAAUUUGUCCCUUUGCAAAUUACUCCCGCCUCACCCCUCUCAUUUCACACCCAGUCUCUUCAGACAACCAUUAAUCUGCUUUCUGUUACCGUAGAAUUCGUUUGUAUUUUCUUUUUUCUUUCUUUCUUUCUUUUUUUUUCAGUUUGUAUUUUCUAGAGUUUUAGUUAAGUUGAGUCAUCUAGUAGGCACUCUUUUGUGUCUGGCUUCUCUCACUCAACAUAAAUACGUUGAGAUUCAUCCAUGUGGUCUCGCAUCUCUCUGGUUCAUUCUGUUUUACCACCAGACAGCUUUCCACUAAAUGUGUACACAACAAUUUAUACAUCCAUUUACCAGCUGACGGACUUUGGGGUUGCUUCCAGUUUUCAGCUAUUACAAAGAGAGCUGUGAUGUCCGUUUGUGCACAAGUCUUCAUAUGGACAUAUGCUUUCAUAUGUUUUCGGUGGAAUGGUUAGAUCGUACGGUAGCCUAACAUUUUAAGAAACUGCCAAACUGUUUCUGAAGUGUUUCUGCCACUUUCCCUUCUCACCAGCAGUGUGUGAGAAUUCCCUUUUCUCCGUGUCCUUGCCAACAUUCAGCAUGAUUAGUCUUUUUAAUUAUAGCCGUUUUCAUAGAUGUGAAGUACAGCCACACCGAGGUUUUUAUAUUGCUAAUGUCUAUUCACCAUCUCUAUAUCAUCUUCUGUGAACUGUCUUUUCAAAUAUUUUGUCCAUUUUUUUUUUUAUUGGGUUGCUUGUUUUCUUUUUAUUGAGU
This is a long non-coding RNA of Canis lupus familiaris (dog), 2562 nucleotides long. RefSeq lists it as uncharacterized. NCBI's taxonomy places the organism in Eukaryota, Metazoa, Chordata, Mammalia, Carnivora, Canidae. The transcript is spliced from 4 exons. The record is from RefSeq and is a predicted model, not a curated record.